ACGCCGCGUGAGUGAAGAAGGUUUUCGGAUCGUAAAGCUCUGUUGUUGGUGAAGAAGGAUAGAGGUAGUAACUGGCCUUUAUUUGACGGUAAUCAACCAGAAAGUCACGGCUAACUACGUGCCAGCAGCCGCGGUAAUACGUAGGUGGCAAGCGUUGUCCGGAUUUAUUGGGCGUAAAGCGAGCGCAGGCGGAAGAAUAAGUCUGAUGUGAAAGCCCUCGGCUUAACCGAGGAACUGCAUCGGAAACUGUUUUUCUUGAGUGCAGAAGAGGAGAGUGGAACUCCAUGUGUAGCGGUGAAAUGCGUAGAUAUAGGGAAGAACACCAGU
RNAcentral lists this ribosomal RNA (327 nucleotides) under Lactobacillus crispatus. RNAcentral's name for it is "bacterial SSU rRNA". It matches the Rfam family "Bacterial small subunit ribosomal RNA", at positions 394 to 713 of the family's 1533-position model. The record is from RNAcentral. Lineage: Bacteria; Bacillati; Bacillota; Bacilli; Lactobacillales; Lactobacillaceae.